AACCCUUGUCCUAGUUACCAGCACGGUUAUGGUGGGCACUCUAAGGAGACUGCCGGUGACAAACCGGAGGAAGGUGGGGAUGACGUCAAGUCAUCAUGGCCCUUACGGCCUGGGCUACACACGUGCUACAAUGGUCGGUACAAAGGGUUGCCAAGCCGCGAGGUGGAGCUAAUCCCAUAAAACCGAUCGUAGUCCGGAUCGCAGUCUGCAACUCGACUGCGUGAAGUCGGAAUCGCUAGUAAUCGUGAAUCAGAAUGUCACGGUGAAUACGUUCCCGGGCCUU
Molecule: ribosomal RNA, 283 nt
Filed under: uncultured Pseudomonas sp.
Lineage: Bacteria; Pseudomonadati; Pseudomonadota; Gammaproteobacteria; Pseudomonadales; Pseudomonadaceae
Description: partial 16S ribosomal RNA
Rfam family: Bacterial small subunit ribosomal RNA
Source: RNAcentral